UACGUAGGGUGCGAGCGUUAAUCGGAAUUACUGGGCGUAAAGCGUGCGCAGGCGGUUUUGUAAGCCAGAUGUGAAAUCCCCAGGCUCAACCUGGGAACUGCGUCUGAUACUGGUUGGCUUGAAUCCGGGAGAGGGAUGCAGAAUUCCAGGUGUAGCGGUGAAAUGCGUAGAUAUCUGGAGGAAUACCGGUGGCGAAGGCGGCAUCCUGGACCGGCAUUGACGCUGAGGAGCGAAAGCUAGGGGAGCAAACGGG
Molecule: ribosomal RNA, 253 nt
Filed under: uncultured bacterium
Lineage: Bacteria
Description: partial 16S ribosomal RNA
Rfam family: Bacterial small subunit ribosomal RNA
Source: RNAcentral